Non-coding RNA from Xyrichtys novacula (pearly razorfish), 306 nucleotides. The record is from the annotation of a GenBank genome assembly. NCBI's taxonomy places the organism in Eukaryota, Metazoa, Chordata, Actinopteri, Labriformes, Labridae.
GAAGACUGACACAGCAGCAGACUGACUGUUUUUCAGUUCUGAUUAGACACUAGUGUUGAGAUGUCUGUCUGUCAUGAUAGCAUGUACUGAGUCGGGGCCAGUACCAGAUAAGCACAUUAAACUGUAAUCCAUAAACGUAAGGUAACAACCGAGACCUAAUGGUGCUGUGACAGCAACGCUGUGAUUGAGUUUGAGACAGUGAAAAUACAUAUGGUAUGUUGUAUCUGAACAGGUUAGCUUACGAGCUAAAGUUACUUAGCACAGAUGAAAGUUAAAACAAAGACGUUUAGCAAACUGUUAAAGCAC